Molecule: ribosomal RNA, 253 nt
Filed under: uncultured prokaryote
Description: partial 16S ribosomal RNA
Rfam family: Bacterial small subunit ribosomal RNA
Source: RNAcentral
UACGUAGGGUGCGAGCGUUGUCCGGAAUUAUUGGGCGUAAAGGGCUCGUAGGCGGUUUGUCGCGUCGGGAGUGAAAUCCACUGGCUUAACUGGUGGCUUGCUUUCGAUACGGGCAGACUGGAGGUAUGCAGGGGAGAACGGAAUUCCUGGUGUAGCGGUGAAAUGCGUAGAUAUCGGGAGGAACACCUGUGGCGAAAGCGGCGCACUGGACCACAACUGACGCUGAGGCGCGAAAGCUAGGGGAGCAAACAGG